UGGAAACUGUNUGACUUGAGUGCAGAAGGGGAGAGUGGAAUUCCAUGUGUAGCGGUGAAAUGCGUAGAUAUAUGGAGGAACACCAGUGGCGAAAGCGGCUCUCUGGUCUGUCACUGACGCUGAGGCUCGAAAGCGUGGGUAGCGAACAGGAUUAGAUACCCUGGUAGUNCACGCCGUAAACGAUGAGUGCUAGGUGUUAGGCCCUUUCCGGGGCUUAGCGCCGGAGCUAACGCAAUAAGCACUCCGCCUGGGGAGUACGACCGCAAGGUUGAAACUCAAAGGAAUUGACGGGGGCCCGCACAAGCGGUGGAGCACGUGGUUUAAUUCGAAGCAACGCGAAGAACCUUACCAGGUCUUGACAUCCCGAUGCUAUUCUUAGAGAUAGGAAGUUACUUCGGUACAUCGGAGACAGGUGGUGCAUGGUUGUCGUCAGCUCGUGUCGUGAGAUGUUGGGUUAAGUCCCGCAACGAGCGCAACCCUUAUUGUUAGUUGCCAUCAUUAAGUUGGGCACUCUAGCGAGACUGCCGGUAAUAAACCGGAGGAAGGUGGGGAUGACGUCAAAUCAUCAUGCCCCUUAUGACCUGGGCUACACACGUGCUACAAUGGUCGGUACAACGAGUUGCGAGCCGGUGACGGCAAGCUAAUCUCUGAAAGCCGAUCUCAGUUCGGAUUGGAGGCUGCAACUCGCCUCCAUGAAGUCGGAAUCGCUAGUAAUCGCGGAUCAGCACGCCGCGGUGAAUACGUUCCCGGGCCUUGUACACACCGCCCGUCACACCACGAGAGUUUGUAACACCCGAAGUCGGUGAGGUAACCUUUUAGGGGCCAGCCGCCUAAGGUGGGANGGAU
RNAcentral lists this ribosomal RNA (846 nucleotides) under uncultured bacterium. RNAcentral describes it as "bacterial SSU rRNA". It matches the Rfam family "Bacterial small subunit ribosomal RNA", at positions 627 to 1472 of the family's 1533-position model. The record is from RNAcentral.